AGGGUGAACGCUGGCGGCGUGCUUAAGACAUGCAAGUCGAACGAGGUCUUCGGGCCUAGUGGCGCACGGGUGAGUAACGCGUAACUGACCUACCUCCAAGUUCAGCAUAACGUCUCGAAAGAGACGCUAAUUCUGAAUGUGAUCCAGAAUCGUGUUUCUGUGAUUAAAGAAUUUCGCUUGGAGAUGGGGUUGCGUGCCAUCAGCUAGUUGGUGGGGUAAAGGCCUACCAAGGCGACGACGGCUAACCGGCCUGAGAGGGUGGCCGGUCACAGGGGCACUGAGACACGGGUCCCACUCCUACGGGAGGCAGCAGUUAGGAAUCUUCCACAAUGGGCGCAAGCCUGAUGGAGCGACGCCGCGUGAGGGAUGAAGGUUUUCGGAUCGUAAACCUCUGAAUCAGGGACGAAAGACCAGCUUGACUGGAGAUGACGGUACCUGAGUAAUAGCACCGGCUAACUCCGCGCCAGCAGCCGCGGU
Molecule: ribosomal RNA, 477 nt
Filed under: uncultured bacterium
Lineage: Bacteria
Description: SSU rRNA
Rfam family: Bacterial small subunit ribosomal RNA
Source: RNAcentral